Molecule: long non-coding RNA, 1241 nt
Filed under: Homo sapiens (human)
Lineage: Eukaryota; Metazoa; Chordata; Mammalia; Primates; Hominidae
Description: novel transcript
Source: RNAcentral
GCAGUGGCACGAUCUCAUGAAGUUUUAAGAAAAGCCUCAAGAAUGGCCUCAUGGCCUCAUGGAAGUUUUUGCUAUGCCUUCAGUUCUGUCACAGUCUUUAGAGGUGUUUUUGUCUAACUCUCCCUCAGGAUCACACCAAAAAGCCUUGGUCAUUCAGCAUGGUGCCUGACCUUCAGCAAAUAUUGGGAGCCUCCGAUUCCUGCUGCUUCUAGUCUGCCAUCUUUGCCACACCCCCAGAAAAUUCUGACUAUUCAAUUUCUACUAUACCAAAAUUAGACUCCUCCUCCCGCUAAGGAAAAGUGGUGACAACAUGGGCAUAUGGACAUUCAUUCCCACCUUCAGCAGAGGGAGGAUAUGUGUUUUGAGAAAUGGUACUAGAGCAAUUCAACAUAGAAGAAAAGAAGAGAAGAUGAAGGAGAAGAGGAGGAAGAGGAAGAGGAAGAAGGAGGAGGAGGAGGAAGAAGAAAAAGAAGAAGGAAGAAGAGGAAGAAGAAGAGGAAGAAGAGGAAGAAGGAGAAGAAGGAGAAGGAGAAGAAGCAGCAGCCAAGUGCAGUGACCCAGCCUGUAGUCCCAGCGCUUUGGGAGGUCAAGGCGGGCAUAGCAGGAGGUCAGGAGUUCGAGACCAGCCUGGCCAACAUGGUGAAACCCCAUCUCUACUAAAACUACAAAAAUAAGCUGGGUGUGGUGGUGUGCACCUGUAAUCUCAGCUUCUUGGGAGGCUAAGCAGGAUAAUCGUUUGAGUCCUGGAGACAGAGGUUGCAGUGAGCCGAGAUCAUGCCACUGCACUCCAACCUGGGUGGCAAAGCAAGACUCUGUCUCAAAAAAUAAAUAAAUAAAUAAAUAAGAAGGAAGAGGAGGAGGAGGAAAGAAUAAUAAUAAUAAUAAUAAUAAUAAUAAGGGGAGCACCUUGACCUAAGUCUCACUUUCGCACCUACAAAAUUUAACUCAAAAUGAAUCACAGACUUAAAUACCAUAGAAAAAAAAAACAGGGCACCUGUGUGUUCUAGCACCAGUUAGAGAGUUCUUUGACCGGAUUCUGAAAGCACUAUCCAUAAAAAGAAAUUUUGGUAAAUUGAAGUUCAUUAAAAUUGGAAACUUUUGUUCUGUGAAAGACCCUGCCAAAAAGAUGAGAAAAUAAGCUACAUGCUGAGAGAAAAUAUUUGCAAAGCACCUAUUUGACACAGGGUUAGUAUCUAGAGUAUAUAACAAACUCAAAAAGCUCAAAAAUAAAGGAAAAAAAA